AGAGUUUGAUCCUGGCUCAGGAUGAACGCUGGCGGCGUGCCUAACACAUGCAAGUUGAGCGAUUUACUUCGGUAAAGAGCGGCGGACGGGUGAGUAACGCGUGGGUAACCUACCCUGUACACACGGAUAACAUACCGAAAGGUAUGCUAAUACGGGAUAAUAUAUUUGAGAGGCAUCUCUUAAAUAUCAAAGGUGAGCCAGUACAGGAUGGACCCGCGUCUGAUUAGCUAGUUGGUAAGGUAACGGCUUACCAAGGCGACGAUCAGUAGCCGACCUGAGAGGGUGAUCGGCCACAUUGGAACUGAGACACGGUCCAAACUCCUACGGGAGGCAGCAGUGGGGAAUAUUGCACAAUGGGCGAAAGCCUGAUGCAGCAACGCCGCGUGAGUGAUGAAGGCCUUCGGGUCGUAAAACUCUGUCCUCAAGGAAGAUAAUGACGGUACUUGAGGAGGAAGCCCCGGCUAACUACGUGCCAGCAGCCGCGGUAAUACGUAGGGGGCUAGCGUUAUCCGGAUUUACUGGGCGUAAAGGGUGCGUAGGCGGUCUUUCAAGUCAGGAGUGAAAGGCUACGGCUCAACCGUAGUAAGCUCUUGAAACUGGGAGACUUGAGUGCAGGAGAGGAGAGUGGAAUUCCUAGUGUAGCGGUGAAAUGCGUAGAUAUUAGGAGGAACACCAGUUGCGAAGGCGGCUCUCUGGACUGUAACUGACGCUGAGGCACGAAAGCGUGGGGAGCAAACAGGAUUAGAUACCCUGGUAGUCCACGCUGUAAACGAUGAGUAC
Molecule: ribosomal RNA, 780 nt
Filed under: Clostridioides difficile Y343
Lineage: Bacteria; Bacillati; Bacillota; Clostridia; Peptostreptococcales; Peptostreptococcaceae
Description: bacterial SSU rRNA
Rfam family: Bacterial small subunit ribosomal RNA
Source: RNAcentral